AGAGUUUGAUCCUGGCUCAGGAUGAACGCUGGCGGCGUGCCUAACACAUGCAAGUCGAGCGCGAUUAGACGGACUGGAGACUUCGGUCAAAGGGAAGCCUAUGAAAGCGGCGGACGGGUGAGUAACGCGUGAGCAACCUGCCCUGUACAGGGGGAUAGCCACUGGAAACGGUGAUUAAUACCCCAUAAACCCAAAGGACCGCAUGGUCUAAUGGGCAAAGCCCCAAGCGGUACAGGAUGGGCUCGCGUCUGAUUAGCUAGUUGGUGAGGUAAUGGCUCACCAAGGCGACGAUCAGUAGCCGACCUGAGAGGGUGAACGGCCACACUGGAACUGAGACACGGUCCAGACUCCUACGGGAGGCAGCAGUGGGGAAUAUUGCACAAUGGGCGCAAGCCUGAUGCAGCAACGCCGCGUGAGUGAUGAAGGCCUUCGGGUCGUAAAACUCUGUCCUAAGGGAAGAAGAAGUGACGGUACCUUAGGAGGAAGCCCCGGCUAACUACGUGCCAGCAGCCGCGGUAAUACGUAGGGGGCAAGCGUUAUCCGGAAUCACUGGGCGUAAAGGGUGCGUAGGCGGCUGAUCAAGCCAGGGGUGAAAGGCUGUGGCUUAACCAUGGUAAGCCUUUGGAACUGACGAGCUUGAGUGCAGGAGAGGUAAGUGGAAUUCCUAGUGUAGAGGUGAAAUUCGUAGAUAUUAGGAGGAACACCAGUGGCGAAGGCGACUUACUGGACUGUAACUGACACUGAGGCACGAAAGCGUGGGGAGCGAACAGGAUUAGAUACCCUGGUAGUCC
RNAcentral lists this ribosomal RNA (791 nucleotides) under uncultured bacterium. RNAcentral describes it as "bacterial SSU rRNA". It matches the Rfam family "Bacterial small subunit ribosomal RNA", at positions 8 to 796 of the family's 1533-position model. The record is from RNAcentral.